UGGGGAAUUUUGGACAAUGGGCGCAAGCCUGAUCCAGCCAUGCCGCGUGCGGGAAGAAGGCCUUCGGGUUGUAAACCGCUUUUGUCAGGGAAGAAAUCUUCUGAGUUAAUACCUCGGGAGGAUGACGGUACCUGAAGAAUAAGCACCGGCUAACUACGUGCCAGCAGCCGCGGUAAUACGUAGGGUGCAAGCGUUAAUCGGAAUUACUGGGCGUAAAGCGUGCGCAGGCGGUUUUGUAAGACAGAGGUGAAAUCCCCGGGCUCAACCUGGGAACUGCCUUUGUGACUGCAAGGCUUGAGUGCGGCAGAGGGGGAUGGAAUUCCGCGUGUAGCAGUGAAAUGCGUAGAUAUGCGGAGGAACACCGAUGGCGAAGGCAAUCCCCUGGGCCUGCACUGACGCUCAUGCACGAAAGCGUGGGGAGCAAACAGGAUUAGAUACCCUGGUAGUCCACGCCCUAAACGAUGUCAACUGGUUGUUGGGAAGGUUCCUUCUCAGUAACGUAGCUAACGCGUGAAGUUGACCGCCUGGGGAGUACGGCCGCAAGGUUGAAACUUAAAUGAAUUGACGGGGUCAUA
RNAcentral lists this ribosomal RNA (575 nucleotides) under uncultured bacterium. Its description in RNAcentral is "partial 16S ribosomal RNA". It matches the Rfam family "Bacterial small subunit ribosomal RNA", at positions 355 to 923 of the family's 1533-position model. The record is from RNAcentral.